Molecule: ribosomal RNA, 465 nt
Filed under: Vreelandella stevensii
Lineage: Bacteria; Pseudomonadati; Pseudomonadota; Gammaproteobacteria; Oceanospirillales; Halomonadaceae
Description: partial 16S ribosomal RNA
Rfam family: Bacterial small subunit ribosomal RNA
Source: RNAcentral
CCUACGGUGGGCAGCAGUGGGGAAUAUUGGACAAUGGGCGAAAGCCUGAUCCAGCCAUGCCGCGUGUGUGAAGAAGGCCUUCGGGUUGUAAAGCACUUUCAGUGGGGAAGAAAGCCUUGGGGCUAAUACCCUCGAGGAAGGACAUCACCCACAGAAGAAGCACCGGCUAACUCCGUGCCAGCAGCCGCGGUAAUACGGAGGGUGCGAGCGUUAAUCGGAAUUACUGGGCGUAAAGCGCGCGUAGGCGGUCUGAUAAGCCGGUUGUGAAAGCCCCGGGCUCAACCUGGGAACGGCAUCCGGAACUGUCAGGAUAGAGUGCAGGAGAGGAAGGUAGAAUUCCCGGUGUAGCGGUGCAAUGCGUAGAGAUCGGGAGGAAUACCAGUGGCGAAGGCGGCCUUCUGGACUGACACUGACGCUGAGGUGCGAAAGCGUGGGUAGCAAACAGGAUUAGAUACCCCUGUAGUC